This 496-nucleotide ribosomal RNA is filed under the name uncultured bacterium. RNAcentral describes it as "partial 16S ribosomal RNA". It matches the Rfam family "Bacterial small subunit ribosomal RNA", at positions 29 to 507 of the family's 1533-position model. The record is from RNAcentral.
AUGAACGCUGGCGGCGUGCCUAAUACAUGCAAGUCGAGCGAACGGACGGGAAGCUUGCUUCUCUGAUGUUAGCGGCGGACGGGUGAGUAACACGUGGAUAACCUACCUAUAAGACUGGGAUAACUUCGGGAAACCGGAGCUAAUACCGGAUGAUAUUUUGAACCGCAUGGUUCAAAAGUGAAAGACGGUCUUGCUGUCACUUAUAGAUGGAUCCGCGCUGCGUUAGCUAGUUGGUAAGGUAACGGCUUACCAAGGUAACGAUGCAUAGCCGACCUGAGAGGGUGAUCGGCCACACUGGAACUGAGACACGGUCCAGACUCCUACGGGAGGCAGCAGUAGGGAAUCUUCCGCAAUGGGCGAAAGCCUGACGGAGCAACGCCGCGUGAGUGAUGAAGGUCUUCGGAUCGUAAAACUCUGUUAUUAGGGAAGAACAUAUGUGUAAGUAACUGUGCACAUCUUGACGGUACCUAAUCAGAAAGCCACGGCUAACUACGUG